CUACAUGACAUCGUGACUUCGCGGUUUUAGCUGUAGGACACCGUAUGGAGUGACUUUUGGGGGAAGACACUGUCAAAAGUUGGAUAUUUGCUGCCACAUAUUACGUGCCCACCAGCAAAUAUCCAACUUUUGAGAGUGUCUUCCCCCAAAAGUCACUUUGCACGGUAUCCUACAGCUAAAACCUCAAGUCA
This 191-nucleotide microRNA precursor is filed under the name Triticum aestivum (bread wheat). Its description in RNAcentral is "miR10519 stem-loop (tae-MIR10519)". The record is from miRBase by way of RNAcentral. Lineage: Eukaryota; Viridiplantae; Streptophyta; Magnoliopsida; Poales; Poaceae.